UACAGAGGGGGCAAGCGUUGUUCGGAAUUAUUGGGCGUAAAGGGCGCGUAGGCGGCUUUGCAAGUGGCGGGUGAAAUCCCUCGGCUUAACCGAGGAACUGCCUGUCAAACUGCAUGGCUUGAGACCAGGAGAGGUGAGUGGAAUUCCCAGUGUAGCGGUGAAAUGCGUAGAUAUUGGGAGGAACACCAGUGGCGAAGGCGGCUCACUGGACUGGUACUGACGCUGAUGCGCGAAAGCGUGGGGAGCAAACAGG
RNAcentral lists this ribosomal RNA (253 nucleotides) under uncultured bacterium. RNAcentral's name for it is "partial 16S ribosomal RNA". It matches the Rfam family "Bacterial small subunit ribosomal RNA", at positions 524 to 776 of the family's 1533-position model. The record is from RNAcentral.